CCUACGGGAGGCAGCAGUGGGGAAUAUUGGACAAUGGGCGAAAGCCUGAUCCAGCAAUGCCGCGUGAGUGAUGAAGGCCUUAGGGUUGUAAAGCUCUUUUACCAGGGAUGAUAAUGACAGUACCUGGAGAAUAAGCUCCGGCUAACUCCGUGCCAGCAGCCGCGGUAAUACGGAGGGAGCUAGCGUUGUUCGGAAUUACUGGGCGUAAAGCGUACGUAGGCGGUUAUUCAAGUCAGAGGUGAAAGCCUGGAGCUCAACUCCAGAACUGCCUUUGAAACUAGAUAGCUAGAAUCACGGAGAGGUUAGUGGAAUUCCGAGUGUAGAGGUGAAAUUCGUAGAUAUUCGGAAGAACACCAGUGGCGAAGGCGACUAACUGGACGUGUAUUGACGCUGAGGUACGAAAGCGUGGGGAGCAAACAGGAUUAGAUACCCUGGUAGUCCACGCCGUAAACGAUGAUAACUAGCUGUUCGGUCUCUACGAGACUGAGUGGCGCAGCUAACGCAUUAAGUUAUCCGCCUGGGGAAGUCGGUCGCAAGAUUAAAACUCAAAAGUAGUAGUACGACGNGAGAGAGCGACGACGACGACGAGGAGGAGGAG
RNAcentral lists this ribosomal RNA (598 nucleotides) under uncultured bacterium. RNAcentral describes it as "bacterial SSU rRNA". It matches the Rfam family "Bacterial small subunit ribosomal RNA", at positions 338 to 958 of the family's 1533-position model. The record is from RNAcentral.